AGGAGCGCAGGGGACCGGGGCGGCUCCGCCUCCUCACGGCGGCCUCCCCUCCAGUGCCAGCCGCCAGCCCGGUCCGCGCCGGCAGGAGGUCCGAGCCCACCCAGCGGUCCCUCCGCAGCGACCUCGGCCUGAGAGCUGGCAGCGGCAUCCCGGCUGUUGGUGGUGGGAGGACUUCGGUGGAGCCCCGAGCCCCAGACCUCUGGGCAUGACUCUUGUGGACAGGACCCUGGAGAGCCCUGCCCUAACUUUAUCCUGGAUAAGGCUCUCCUAGAGAGUAUUGUUACUUUUGUACAUCUGCUACCUCGUGUUGAAAGCAUUUUCACCAACCUUCUGGAAAAACUCAGACAUCCAAAAGGUUUGCCAGGUUUGGAGCGUUACCUAAAGAGAAGCAGAAGAGCAAAAGAAGCUGAAUUCUACUCUGAAAAGCCCCUGGGCUAGCGCUAUGGUACCAUCACAUUUGGCAGUGGUAUGUCCUGACCCCCUGUGAGAUGUGCCAUGGAACAACUGUCAAGGUCAAGCCACCGGUGUCCUGGGAGUCCCUAAAGAUGCUUCUCCCUCCACAGGCACGUUCACUCCCGUGGUUUCUGUGAGACAGUCUUCACCGGCUCUGUCCUCUGCACUCCCAGGAAGCCCCCCAGGAGAAUUAACACCAGCUUCUCUGUCGGAACCUUCUUCACCUGCACCCUCCAUUUUCUCUUCUGACCUGAGGACCCUCUUAUGUGACUUAACUUCACCCUCACCACUUAGUCACUUCCAAUGCCGGUUCCUCCCUUGGAUUCCACAUUCCCAACAGACAUUCUUCACCCCAGCCACUUGUGUUUCUUCCUCUCCCACCAUGUGACACUCAGGGAGCAGAUGCUGUUCUCUAAUCAGAAGUGACUUUCUCUCUGAAUAACGUCAAGUCAUUUUGAUCUCUGCCUUUCCAGAGAUGUCAAUCUCUUACCAAGUUUAUCCCAGAAAAUAGGCCCACAGAUUCCCAUGUUUACCAUCAGGAACCAACAGCCUGUCUGCUUCACCACCACCAGAUGGCACUUUAGCUGUGACUCAACCUGAACAUGUUUCCAUUUAAGGACACUUGUUCUAGAGACCUUCUCCCCAGAUGGUGCUGAUAAGCUGUCCACUAUGUCCCAGCAAUCAGAGGUACAGACCCUCCAAGCAGUGUCAGAAUUCUCAUGCCAGAACCUACAUCUUUGGAGUUUCUACCCCUUCACCUUCUAAGGCUUCAUUUGUGGGAGUCCCUGCAGGCAACAUUUUAACAUCUGCUUAUCUCUCCCUUCCAAAGUCUGAUGUUCUGGCCUUUUUGGAGAGACAAGUUUAAAACUGUGUUGACUGCAUGAUGUGCAAGGAAAAGGAAAUAAAACAAGAUCUUUCCCAAAGCAACUUAGGCCAAACUCCCAACAACCGAAUUUGCCAUGUAUAAUGUGCACCUUUUUGGACAAAUAUUUGAGGGAUGACCAAGAAUGCACAUCAUAUGUGGGUAGUAUGGCUUGGGAGUGUGGGAACCAAUGAACCUCCUAGAGCUGCUGUGCUUCCCCUUUUGUGGGUUUUGGGUGUAUGUGUCUCUGGUCCAGGAGAAUCCAAGAUUUGGUGGGAGUGAGCCAGCAUGGCCUCCGCCUAAUGCCAUGACCAAGGGAGGGGGCUGUGGUGGGGCUGGUGAGGCAGGCCCUGGCCUUGUGGGAUGCAAUCUGUGGCCCAGGGUAUUGCUGCAGAGGGAGUUGGGAGCUCUGUGCAGCGGUGAUUCGGUGCACUGCGCAGAGGAGGUUGGGUGCCCUGUUCAGAGGGUGUUUGGGGACCUGCACAGAGGAGUUUGGGAGCCCUGUUCAGGACAGGGACCAUUAUGGCUGCCCUUGGGUUGACCAGCUCAGAAGCUCCUGCCCCAGUGGCCACAUGUGUGGGAAACUUGUGUGUGGCCCCUGAUGUGGUGAGGAGGGAAGGGCUCCCGGGAGCAAGGGAAAGGGCAAUCUUCACAGAGUCCGUGGCUAUGGAAGGUUGGCACAAUCUCCAUGUUUGUCCUCCCCACAUGUGUCUCUUUUGGCCAAGAGCUGAAUUGUGUUUUCCAGAAUGUUUGGGCAAAAAUCAUGGGUGCACAGUAUACAUGGCAAAAUACGGUAAAUUUUUCAUGGACAAUGUUAGUAUCAAUUGCCAAUAAGCAUGACUCAGUAGAUUCCUUCCUCUGAGAACCAGCAAAGGUAAACCAGAAUACCUGCACAUGGACAAUAGCUCCUGUGUCCUAAGACCUUUGAGGAUGACAGAGAACAAAAUACAUCCAGCUCUCCUGGCAUCUCCUAUCUCUGCAGGUUGAGUCCCUGCCCUUUGUGGUGCUUGUCCCAGGUGGCUGUUCCUCAACAUCUGUAUUCUUCCAUCUCCACUACCUUCAUAGCUGAAGAACCCCAGUAAUUAACCAUCUCCAACCUCUCCAGAGACCUGCCCAGUCUCCAGUCCUUAACCCUCACUCGAGUCCAGUCUCGGGCCCAAUUUCAAUUCCUGUUUUCCUUUCUAUCAUCUGGUUUCCUAUCCCAGAUUAGGUUCUGGGGAGUGUGUUUUCAAAAACCACAGAAUGAGGCACAGUGUGUUAUACCUUCUGACAUUUCCCACCUGAUCUGUAAUGUGUCACAGAAAGAGCAGCAAAUUAUGUGGGGCUUAUAGCCUGUGGUCAAGAAAUCCCUGGAAGACUUUUGUCUUCCAGUUCCCAACCUCACAUUGCUCAGCCAGUCCUCCAAGAUCUGUAUUCCAACCCCCAUUUUUUUUUUUUUUAUUGUUGGGGAUUCAUUGAGGGUACAAUAAGCCAGGUUACACUGAUUGCAAUUGUUAGGUAAAAUCCCUCUUGCAAUCAUGUCUUACCCCCAUAAAGUGUGACACAGACCAAGGCCCCACCCUUUUUCUCUCAGCACUGAGCUUCUGAAGAAAACCAGGAACCAUCAUCACAAGAGAAUUUUGAAUUCACCCAAGAUGGAAACUUCCAGAGAGACGCUGAGAAAUUCUUCCCUUAAUAAGGAUACUCAGAAGGAUCAGGAAGUUAGCCUGAGAAAUGGCUGUAAAAGAUCAUCUGUUGAGUGAUCUAGAGAGGUCUUCAGAUAAGGAUCUAGGUCUAACUCUCUGAAAGGCCUAGGAAAUUAGGGAGUAAUUCAAGGCCCUCAAGGGUGAGCCUAGGUCUGAAACAACUGGAACACAUGAGAACACCAAAUUCUGAAGGUGGGAUUUCCAAGCCCCCAUGCAGAAGCUCUAAAGCUAUUUAUGUAGAACAGUUUGGGACAACAAAUUAAGUUGCCAGCUGGGAUUAUCCCCUCCUGCCUCCUCACCUGUGGGCAAAGGAAGGACAGGGAGCCCUAAGACAAUCUUCAUUUUAUACCCAGCAUGACCAAAUGGAGAACGUACAAUGAAGAAUGAAAGGCAGACUCUUCUACGCACCCCUCAUGGAAGGGUAGACAAAAUGAGGAUCUGCUUAGGAGCACAUGUCUUCCCCAUCCCUGUCACUGAAGGGAUGGCCUUCUACUGAACAUCACAUUGAAAGUAAAUGAUCCCUUGUUGGCAGUGGAUUUUUAAAUGCAGAAUAAAACAGAAGGGGCAAUAAGAUUACCUGAAAAGUGCAGCCCUCAAUUGCAUCAGGACCAUUCCCCACUGUGCCCAACAGAGAGCCUGUGCCCCAUCCAUGACCCUGUGCAGGUUGCAAGUUGGCCAGGUGCCUUUGGAACCGCCUGCACUGCUGAGAUUUCAGGGUCUCUCUGCUUCCUUGCAUUUCCUGAGAGGAAGAUUCAUUCCCUUAAAAUGAGA
Molecule: long non-coding RNA, 3771 nt
Organism: Nycticebus coucang (slow loris)
Lineage: Eukaryota; Metazoa; Chordata; Mammalia; Primates; Lorisidae
Exons: 4
Source: RefSeq, a predicted model, not a curated record